This 468-nucleotide ribosomal RNA is filed under the name uncultured bacterium. RNAcentral's name for it is "partial 16S ribosomal RNA". It matches the Rfam family "Bacterial small subunit ribosomal RNA", at positions 28 to 507 of the family's 1533-position model. The record is from RNAcentral.
GACGAACGCUGGCGGCGUGCUUAACACAUGCAAGUCGAACGGAAAGGCCCUGCUUUUGUGGGGUGCUCGAGUGGCGAACGGGUGAGUAACACGUGAGUAACCUGCCCUUGACUUUGGGAUAACUUCAGGAAACUGGGGCUAAUACCGGAUAGGAGCUCCUGCUGCAUGGUGGGGGUUGGAAAGUUUCGGCGGUUGGGGAUGGACUCGCGGCUUAUCAGCUUGUUGGUGGGGUAGUGGCUUACCAAGGCUUUGACGGGUAGCCGGCCUGAGAGGGUGACCGGCCACAUUGGGACUGAGAUACGGCCCAGACUCCUACGGGAGUCAGCAGUGGGGAAUAUUGCACAAUGGGCGGAAGCCUGAUGCAGCAACGCCGCGUGCGGGAUGACGGCCUUCGGGUUGUAAACCGCUUUCGCCUGUGACGAAGCGUGAGUGACGGUAAUGGGUAAAGAAGCACCGGCUAACUACGUG